AUCGAACGCUGGCGGCAGGCCUAACACAUGCAAGUCGAACGAGUGGCGGACGGGUGAGUAAUGUCUGGGAAACUGCCUGAUGGUGGGGGAUAACUACUGGAAACGGUAGCUAAUACCGCAUACCAUCAGAUGUGCCCAGAUGGGAUUAGCUAGUUGGUGGGGUAACGGGCCCCCAAGGCGACGAUCCCUAGCUGGUCUGAGGGGAUGACCAGCCACACUGGAACUGAGACACGGUCCAGACUCCGACGGGAGGUAGCAGAGGGGAAUAGUGCACAAUGGGCGCGAGCCUGAUGCAGCCAUGCCACGUGUAUGAAGAAGGCCUUCGGGUUGUAAAGUACGUUCAGCGGGGAGGCGUUACCCGCAGAAGAAGCACCGGCUAACUCCGUGCCAGCAGCCGCGGUAAUAC
Molecule: ribosomal RNA, 406 nt
Filed under: uncultured bacterium
Lineage: Bacteria
Description: partial 16S ribosomal RNA
Rfam family: Bacterial small subunit ribosomal RNA
Source: RNAcentral